This 405-nucleotide RNase P RNA is filed under the name Tuber melanosporum Mel28. RNAcentral describes it as "nuclear RNase P". It matches the Rfam family "Nuclear RNase P". Rfam says of the family: Ribonuclease P (RNase P) is a ubiquitous endoribonuclease, found in archaea, bacteria and eukarya as well as chloroplasts and mitochondria. Its best characterised activity is the generation of mature 5'-ends of tRNAs by cleaving the 5'-leader elements of precursor-tRNAs. The record is from RNAcentral. Lineage: Eukaryota; Fungi; Ascomycota; Pezizomycetes; Pezizales; Tuberaceae.
GCCGCAUUUCUUUGCUCACACACGAACAAUUGGCAUCAGCUCUAGGUUUUAAACUGCCUUUUGCUUCCUUUUUGUUUCAAUUUACUUUGCAAAUGAGAAAUUCGGAGUAAUCUUCAAAGCACUUACACCGUUGUUACGACAUACGGCGGCCCGUGAGGGUACGGGAUGAUUUCAUUCCUGCUAAGACAUCAGAAAAUCAAGCGCCUUCUCGUGCCUUUUCUCUUUCUUCCUUUUCUUCUGCUCUCUCUCCUGGGGGGGAGUAGGGGGGGGGGGGGGCGAGGGGAGAGAGGCGGUAGGGAAGGAUGCUAUGGGAGUCGAAGCGAAGAUCGUGGGUUGGGCCACUUUAGUGCAAUUUGCGGCGUGCUGUUCGAAAGAAUGGUAUAAUUCGAUUCCGAUUACUCUGUU